This is a long non-coding RNA of Lagopus muta (rock ptarmigan), 364 nucleotides long. RefSeq lists it as uncharacterized. The record is from RefSeq and is a predicted model, not a curated record. The transcript is spliced from 4 exons. Lineage: Eukaryota; Metazoa; Chordata; Aves; Galliformes; Phasianidae.
CAGAUCUUCCUUGUCUUGGAAAGGGCUGUGUUUCUUCUCUGAAGUUUUACCAGCCAACCAGAGGGUCUUCUCUUGGCAUUGCCAGAUUCUGAAGAUGUGUGUAGAAAUCCUAUGGCUGGAAGGUUAAAAAAAAAAAUGAGGACAAAGCAGAAGAUUGGGAUGAGUGUGUGGAAGUUUAAAUUGCUGAACAUCUACACCAGGGGUCUUGAACUGGAGAGGAAAUUGCAAAGGUGAACUUUCUGCUUUGCGAGGAUGGGGACAAGCAGCCCGGUGCCACCUGGCGGCAGCAGAUGCAACACUGUCAUCUCUUGGCUCAUCAGAAAACGAAGGAAGCAGACAGGACUGGGACUGCUGGAAAUGAGCA